UCACUCUCUCUUACCAUCCAUUAUGUCAUUUUUGUUAGUAAGAGAAACAAGAAAAGAGAAAGAAGAAUAGAAAUAAGAAGAAAGAAGAAAAUAAGAAAGGAAAAAAGAGAAAACUUGAAAAGUGAAAUUCAAGAGCUUGAAUAAUCAAGAACUCAUAUCCAUCUUUCAUCAUCUUCAUCUUCUAGAGAUUAGUUCCUAGUUAGACCAAGCCUUG
RNAcentral lists this long non-coding RNA (214 nucleotides) under Lathyrus oleraceus (garden pea). RNAcentral describes it as "Pisum sativum (pea) long non-coding RNA (PSAT_LNC006856)". The record is from RNAcentral. Lineage: Eukaryota; Viridiplantae; Streptophyta; Magnoliopsida; Fabales; Fabaceae.